Molecule: ribosomal RNA, 300 nt
Filed under: uncultured bacterium
Lineage: Bacteria
Description: bacterial SSU rRNA
Rfam family: Bacterial small subunit ribosomal RNA
Source: RNAcentral
GACGAACGCUGGCGGCGUGCUUAACACAUGCAAGUCGAGCGGUAAGGCCCUUUCGGGGGUACACGAGCGGCGAACGGGUGAGUAACACGUGGGUGACCUGCCCUUAGCUCUGGGAUAAGCCUGGGAAACUGGGUCUAAUACCGGAUAUGACUCCAUGACGCAUGUUGUGGGGUGGAAAGCCUUGUGCGGCUAGGGAUGGGCCCGCGGCCUAUCAGCUUGUUGGUGGGGUGAUGGCCUACCAAGGCGACGACGGGUAGCCGGCCUGAGAGGGCGACCGGCCACACUGGGACUGAGACACGG